This 1449-nucleotide long non-coding RNA is filed under the name Numida meleagris (helmeted guineafowl). RNAcentral describes it as "lncRNA (ENSNMEG00000020295.1)". The record is from RNAcentral. Lineage: Eukaryota; Metazoa; Chordata; Aves; Galliformes; Numididae.
UAGGCUUUGGCAAUAAAACAGAGUAGUUGAUAUGUAAGUUUUAUGCCUAGUUCUUUCGAUUAAUGAGCCACUUUUCUUGACGAAUUGAACAUGAAUGAGCAAAAACACAAUAAUCUGAUUAGAUACUAAAUUGAUGGUUUUCUGGCAAUUCAAAAAUUGAAUGUCUAGUUCAGAGCUCACUUUUUUUCCCUGGGACAACUUGAUAACCUCCUUUUACUAUAGCCAAACCACUGCAGAGGCAUUGUCAGUCUCUUCAAGUUCACUAUUGUUCUCAGAAAAUCACUUCCUUAAGAAAGAUCCAUAUGUUGAGGGCCUCAGCUGUACUUUGUGGGAAACAAAAUUAUGGGUCAAAUUCAUUUGCUGUGUAACUCUACUGAAGUUGGUUCAGCUGACACAAAUAUCUCCUAACGGCAUUACAGCUUUGCCUCAUCUCUGCUGGCACAAGAAGCUGUGAGAGGGCUGUUGUCAACAGGGGUGGUUGUGGGAGGUUCUUCAGGGCUGAGAUGUAACGUUGAACCAGAUUUGUGUUUGGAAGCUCAAUUUUGCUUUUAGGAAUAUAAGUGAGGAGAAUGAUUUGCCAAAUGGAGUGAGCAUCCAGAUGAUCUUGUUCUGUAGACAAGAUCCUUUAACGUGUUUAUGUCAGGAGGAGGAACAUUUAUUCAUCUUAGAGGUGUUGGGAAAGGGAAGUGCAGAUGAGGGCUGCCACAGGCUGCUCCAAACCUCCAGAGUCUUGCAGGGAAGGAAUUCAUCAGUCCCUUAGCACCCUGUGCUGCAGCCUUCUGUAGCUGUUGGUCCAGUGCAAAAAGGAUGAGAAAUACAAUUCCCAUUGGGGCAGGGGAGCAGCAACACUCAGAGGAAAGUUCAGGUGGGAUCUGCGGUCCUGUGCAACUGGUAAUCCACGCAAGGAUUGUGCUCCCAUGUGCAGUAAUCACCCUGCACAAUUUGGCAGCAGUGUUAUCGGCACUGACCGGUGUCUGGAGUGAAACAAGUAAGACUUUAGGAGGUGACUUCCAUUUUGUGACUGCAGCACUUCAGCAUGUGGCUGCCUUCAUUUACUGGAGUAUGCUGGCCAAGACUGCCUUGUUUGUGGAUUACCCAGGUGUGUAUUUUCACUUUUUAAAUCAAAAGACUGUGUGGACUGGCCCAGCAGAGAUGUUAAAUUUAACCUGAUUCUAGUCUAAGAUAGACCUGAGUAAGGUUUAGUUUAAACAAACCCACUGUUUGCUCGGCUUUUGCCUUUGCUGGCUGACCUGAUUUAGGAUCGCGUAUUGUGUUGAGCCAGUAAAACUGUGUCUGUAGCCAAACCAUGUGUGCACAAUACAGUCCAUGUUGCCCUGUUGCCAGUUGUUCCUCCAGCAGUGGGUGCAGUGUGGGCUUUCAGCUGUGGAUCUCUUGGCCUUGGAAGUGGACCCUGCCAAGAUGCAGGUAUUGAAUGAAGCACCACAAUGG